This 846-nucleotide ribosomal RNA is filed under the name uncultured bacterium. Its description in RNAcentral is "bacterial SSU rRNA". It matches the Rfam family "Bacterial small subunit ribosomal RNA", at positions 60 to 914 of the family's 1533-position model. The record is from RNAcentral.
AGUCGAACGGUGGGUAGCAAUACUCAUAGUGGCGCACGGGUGCGUAACACGUAACUAACCUACCUAUAACUGGGGGAUAGCCCGCCGAAAGGCGGAUUAAUACCGCAUAAGCUCUUUGGCUGGCAUCAGCUAAUUAGUAAAGAUUUAUUGGUUAUAGAUGGGGUUGCGGGUCAUUAGCUAGUUGGUUGGGUAACGGCUGACCAAGGCGACGAUGACUAGGGGAGCUGAGAGGCUGGUCCCCCACACGGGCACUGAGAUACGGGCCCGACUCCUACGGGAGGCAGCAGUAGGGAAUAUUGGGCAAUGGGCGAGAGCCUGACCCAGCCAUGCCGCGUGCAGGAAGAAGGCUUUCUGAGUCGUAAACUGCUUUUGACAGGGAGGAAUAAGCGCUACGUGUAGCGUGAUGACGGUACCUGCAGAAUAAGCACCGGCUAACUCCGUGCCAGCAGCCGCGGUAAUACGGAGGGUGCGAGCGUUGUCCGGAUUUAUUGGGUUUAAAGGGUGCGUAGGCGGCCUUAUAAGUCCGGGGUGAAAGCCCGUUGCUCAACAACGGAACUGCCCUGGAUACUGUGAGGCUUGAGUACAGACGAGGUUGGCGGAAUGGACCGAGUAGCGGUGAAAUGCAUAGAUACGGUCCAGAACCCCGAUUGCGAAGGCAGCUGACUAGGCUGUUACUGACGCUGAGGCACGACAGCGUGGGGAGCGAACAGGAUUAGAUACCCUGGUAGUCCACGCCGUAAACGAUGGAUACUCGCUGCGAGCUAAAGAUUGUUCGUGGCUUAGGGAAACCGAUAAGUAUCCCACCUGGGGAGUACGCCCGCAACGGUGAAACUCAAAGGAAUUGAC